GCGGGAGGGUUUAUUAUCAUUUCAUCUACUUCUAAGCAGGCUGAGGAGGUAGGUGUCCCUGGCAUUCCUUUUGUGAUGCAACUGAGGUGAAUGCCUUGUUGGGGUCACACAGCCAGUGUGUGAUGAGCCACUAGGAGCCAGGUCUCUCUGAGGUUGGCCACUGUGAUAUCUCCCCUUGAAGAGAUAUCUCCUCCUUCUCAGACCCUUCCAGAGCUUUAGGAACAGAACCAUCUUUCUCAGAGAAGAGAGAUGGCGUCUUCCCUUCCUGCCUCGCCCAUGCCCAAAAGAUUCGCAGACUUUGGGCUCUUUACUCACUAAGCACCCAGCUCCUGGCCUUCACUAGGAUAUGUCCAUGUGCAUGUGAACUUUUCUCCACAAACUUCAAGUCCAUCUGGGGCUCUUUUCCCCAAGGAUAACCUGACAGCCAUAAAAAUUCUGACGUAAUCUCAGUAUCACUGGGAAAACACACGUAUAUCUGUGUGCACACGAGUAUGAGUGCACAUUCACAAUGUAUUGAGGGCAGAGAAAAGAAGCAAUCAGCGCACAUAUCAGAGAACUGCGUGUCCAAAGGAGAAGAAAAUGCGACUGAAACUUCCAAC
RNAcentral lists this long non-coding RNA (599 nucleotides) under Fukomys damarensis (Damara mole-rat). RNAcentral describes it as "lncRNA (ENSFDAG00000021707.1)". The record is from RNAcentral. Lineage: Eukaryota; Metazoa; Chordata; Mammalia; Rodentia; Bathyergidae.